CGGGCGGGCCGUGACUGGCGCGCUGGGAUGGGACCGACCAUCGGGGAGCGGCUCGUGCAGUGAGCGAGUGCCGUGCGCCUGGGCCGACCGU
RNAcentral lists this non-coding RNA (91 nucleotides) under Streptomyces sp. RNAcentral's name for it is "ZTP sequence". It matches the Rfam family "ZMP/ZTP riboswitch aptamer (pfl RNA motif)". Rfam says of the family: Previously known as pfl RNA. ZMP is also known as AICAR. The record is from RNAcentral. Lineage: Bacteria; Bacillati; Actinomycetota; Actinomycetes; Kitasatosporales; Streptomycetaceae. RNAcentral also lists the same sequence under 1 other name.